CAGUCGACGGCAGCGCGACAAAGCUUGCUCUCUUGGGGGCAAGUGGCGGAUGGGUGUCUAAUAUGUGCCAACUUGCCCGGUAUCGGGGGAUAACUACUCAAAAGAGUGGCUAAAACCGCUGACGCUCUACGGGGGAGAGGGGGGGAUCGCAAGACCUCUCAGUAUUGGAGCGGCCAAUAUGUGAUUGGCGGGUUAGUGGGUUAAAGGCUCAACAAUGCGACGAUGGUCAGAUGGUUCGACAGGACGACCAGCCACACUGGGACUGACACAACGCCCACACUCCUACGGGAUGCGGAAUUGGGGAAUUUUGGACAAUGGGGGAAACCCUGAUCCCGCCAGCCCGCGUGUAGCAUGAAGGUCUUCAGGUUGUAUUGUACUUUUGGCAAAAACUACAUCGUAUACCCUAAGACCGUAUACUGCUCACGGUAUCUGCCGAAUACUCACCGGCUGCCUACGUGCCCGCACCUGCGUUAAUACGCUAGGGUGCAUCCGUUAAUCUGAGUUACUGGGCUUAACGCGUGUGUUAUGCGGUUACAGAUAUAAAGAUGUGAGAUCCCAGGCUCUCAACCUGUGGUAACUGCCUUUAUGGUCUGCCGAACUAGAGUAGUGUCAUAGGGAGUGCAGCAUGUCCCCGUGUACUGCUGUAAAUGCUGUAGAUGUAUGACAGGAAUACCGA
This 676-nucleotide ribosomal RNA is filed under the name Alcaligenes sp. DD3. Its description in RNAcentral is "bacterial SSU rRNA". It matches the Rfam family "Bacterial small subunit ribosomal RNA", at positions 59 to 712 of the family's 1533-position model. Lineage: Bacteria; Pseudomonadati; Pseudomonadota; Betaproteobacteria; Burkholderiales; Alcaligenaceae. The record is from RNAcentral.